CGCCUUGCUAGCCCUUCCUCUCUCUUUCCUCGCAGCGCUCGUCCUUCUCUACUUGUCGCCCUCCCCGCGUUCUGCUUUGUGUUGUGUACUUCUCCCGUUCAACGGGCGCCAUGGUGGCUCUGACGACGCCGCCACCGCGGCCAGAGGAGACGAUACCAAACCUCGAUGAGGUGGAGGUAGCCUUCCGUGAGCUUCUAAAGCAGGGCGCGAGCCUGAAUAUGCCGUACGUCGCGGCGGCGCAGAACGCGCUGCAGGAGGUGCUCCGCGAACACGCCCGCCUCCUCACCUACAUGGAGACCCACUCUCGACCGAAUGCAGACGCAGCGUCGGCCACCGCGUACGACGACGAUGGCGAUACCGAGCCUGCUUGCGUGUACACCUUCCGGGUCAUGUACGACGGCGCUAUCACGGCAGUGCAGGAUAGCGUCGUGGCUGCCGCGCAGCGGGCGGCGGGCAAUUUCUUUCGCGCAAAGGCAUCGCUGGAGGCCUCCUCCUCGUCAUCGCUGACUGAGGACGCUCUUCAGUGCAUUGGGGUCCUCAUAGAGUCGCUUGGCUGGGCCUUGCAUCGAUCCAUCGCUUUCACUGGAGAUGCGCAGGGCUACUUGACAUCUAUGCAGCAGAAGCUCAGUGCCUUGUCGACGCACGCCAUGUCGGCGUUCGAGCCAGGCCGAGCAACACUGUCGUCGUCAUCGACGAGCCCCGCAACGUCGAACACCGCCGUUGCUGCCCUCGCCAUCGUCUUACCGGCCUGGCUACGUCAGGCAAACGUGGCUCUGAGUACACUGUCACACUUUGUCUCCAAGACGUACCCGCACGGGCCCUGGUUCGCGCACCACAACCGCCGCGCCGUCGAGCGCAGCCGCCGUCUCCGUCACCCGUCAGACGUUGGCGAGGCACCGUUCGAGACGCUGGUGCGCGCCGCCUCGCGUGUCCAGGACAGGGACGUGGAGGCGCUGUCGAAGGUGGUCCUGCGUGUCGCACAGGCGCACACACAGUGUCUCGCGGCGGUCCGUGCGACGAGCGAGCGACCGAGGGAUCGAUCAAACCUGGCCAAAAUCUUUGCGCCGCUGAACACGUCGCUGAAUGGGCUGACCGCCACGUGUGAGGACGUGAUUCGCCGCCGCGAAGACGACCGCCCGCACGCGCACGCGGUGCUGGAGGCCGGCAAUGUCUUCACGUGGCUCGCAACCGACUUGGAGCCGUGUGUCGUCAUUGAGGAAGCGUUCAGCAGUGCCAACACGUACAUCAAGAAGAUCACGGCGAGGGGGAACGUGCUGCUGCUGCAGCAGGAGAACGGCUGCGCUAUUGGACAGCGGGAGCUGGCCAAGGCGACCGUGACGUGGGCCGUGAUGCUGCGCGAUGCACUGGAGCGGAUGGUGCUACUGGUGCUAUACCGCUACCCGAGAGCUGUGCCAUGGGGAGAGUCGCUCGAGUCACGGAUGCCCCGAUACAUAAGCGAGCCACGCCCGCCAUCCGUCCCACGCGACCGCGGAGAGGCUGUGCCUGUCUGGCGCCGCUCACAAACAGCGGCCGAGCAGGUGGUGCGCCCUCCGACGCACCCGCCGUCAUCAACAAUCUCAUCCACAGCAGCGCCAGCGCCACCCAUGCCUCGCACACAGGGUGCUGUGGUGGUAGGAGCCAUGCCGCCGCCAAGCAAGGCGUCUAAGUUCGCUGAGCCGCAACCCACGGACGCGCAGCAGUCGAAACCGACGCCAGAGUGCACGUUCGACGCCGUCACGCAGACGUGGACGGUGCAGCACUACCACCAGCCCCUCGUCAGCCCCGCCUCCGGGGCGAAGCAAGAGCCGGUGCUCGUUGUGCUGCCAGAGGAGAAGCUCGACAGCCGUCACCUCGUCCGCAUCCUAGACUGCUUCAACACCUAUGUGACGAUCCCGGUGAAGGUGAGGGGAGUCGCUGUGGAGCGCUGCCAGAACUCGAAGCUGCAGCUGGCGAGCAGUGUUGGCCCGGUGCGGAUCAGCGAUACGGAGCGGCAGGAGGUGCUUAUUGAGACUUCGGCGCCAGGCGUGCAUGCGGCGAAGGUGAGCGGGCUGACGAUCCACCUCGCAGAGGAGUGCAACACACCUAUUGUGACGAGGAUGGCAUCUAACGUGAACGCUACGGUCACGGUGCGCAUGCCGGACGGCGAUCAAGAGGUGCGAGAACUGGCGCUGCCGGAGCAAUACAUCACCACUAUCAAGGAGGUGGACCAACUUGUCACCCGUGAAGUGACGUACUCCGGCUAGCGACAGCACCAGGGCCUCGCAGAAGCGGGCUGCUGGCGCGCUGAGGGAGGGAGAUAGCGGGUGAUCGGUUGCGCCAUGCGGCGACUCGCACAAUCAAAUCCACACUCUGCACGCUUGCGGACACAUGAACGCAUGGCCGGGCCGGCGUUCUUCUAUCGAACUUUUUUCUCGCUUCGUGUGCUCCCCUCCUCGCUUGCUGUCGCGUAUGCGUUCCGGACUCACUUGCCUGUCGCACUCUCCCCGGGAGCGUACGUACGCCGGUAGAAAGCAGGGGUGGUGGUGAGACGCGCCUUGCGUGAUUUAGAUUCUGUACGCGCCUCCUCUCUGAUGGCGGGUGAAGGUGAAGGGGGCGUGGCACACACACCCCUCUCAGCGCGUGGCACCUCAGGGACCAGUGCACCCACUUUCUCUCCGUGGGAGAGCCUGGCAGCCCCCUCCCCCAUCCCCUGCCAAGUGCCGAGCCGCUUCUGUUGGUGACGGGGUCAGGUACCUACGCCGCAGGGGGGAGGGUUCAGAGCGAUGUGUCGCUGCUGGUGCCGGCGGUGGCGUCCUGGAUGACGUUGCAUCGGAGUGGCCCGCGACAGCGAGGCAGAUCUGUAUCCAUCCACAUGAUGGGCAGAGCGUCAUCGUGACCCGAGCGUCUCCCACCCGGCCCGGCCCCUCACACCGCCCACUGGUGUGGGUGGGGUGCCCGAGCGCCACCGCGAGGGGGAUGCGCCCGAUGGCGGCCGGCAUGGUGGGCGCGGCUGCGCGGCGCCCCGCGAAGCAUGGGCUGUGGGCGUGGGCGGGGGCGGGGGCCGUGCUCUCCGAUGGCUGGGUCGGCGCGUUGCUGUGGCGCGUGUGUGUCCUACGGCUGCCAUCGGCCCGCGCGAGGUUGGGUCUGUGACAGGGGUCGGAGGGAGAGGGGGUGGCAGUGGAGGGGCGGUUGGACGUCACGUUGUGCGGCACUGAGGUGGGACUCACGUUGACGCAAGGAAAGGAGCGCAUACUUUUUCACGGAACGGAAUACGCGACCAGCAGAUGUGCGCGCUUAUUUUUCAUUACCUCUGCGCUAGUCUGUCUUUGAGCCACCGAGCUCGAGCCUGUGCGCGUGCAUAUGCGUGUGCGUGUUUGCUAUCAUGUCUGUCUCUCUAAGUGUGCGUGUGUGUGUGUGUGCAUGCGUGUGCCGUCCCUCCCCCCUCAUCUGCCCGCUCCCUCAGUCACCGUAUCGCAACGCGAGCACAAGACAUGCAACACGAGCACCGUGAAAGGCGUGCAUGUCGGUGGGGCGUGCUGGCACUUUAAUGGAUUCGGUGCGCGCACCCGCACACCCCCAUUCCCUCUCGAUAAUAUCUCUCGAUGCCUGUGUGUGUGUGCGCGCUCUCUUUUUGGGAUCCCCGCGCAGCACGCUUCCCGCACGCCGCAUUCCGAGGCGCACGGACCCCGGACACAUAGAGGAAGCAUGACGUGUUGCCGACACCCAAGUCCCCUCUCGCCUCCCCCCCAUCCCUCCUCGACAGCCGCACGCCCUCACGCGCGCUCUCUGUGCCUAUCUCACAUGGGUGCACCGGCACCCCCACCGCCGCCACAUCCCGCAUCCGCGACUAUCAGACCAGAACCGAACGCAAAGAGACGCGAACGCGCACGAGACGGAACCGCGGAACGAAGGAGGACUGUGCCGGCCAAGACGUGCCCCUUCUCCGAUUUUCGCAGCAUACGUCUUCCCCCACCUUACGACACGCCUUUUCGCAUGCUGCGUGUCCUCCGCUCCCCUCCCCCACGUCCACGCCAUCGUUCUCGACUUCUCAGCUGCUGACGCUGCGCCAUUUCGCUUCUCUCUCUGUCCUUCAUCUCGUCCCCUCUCUAUCAUGUACCUUCGCCGUCGCACCAG
RNAcentral lists this unclassified non-coding RNA (4113 nucleotides) under Leishmania donovani. RNAcentral's name for it is "gene:LdHU3.21.1310(CDS-product:Adenylate_cyclase_ associated_(CAP)_C_inal_putative)". Lineage: Eukaryota; Euglenozoa; Kinetoplastea; Trypanosomatida; Trypanosomatidae. The record is from RNAcentral.